RNAcentral lists this ribosomal RNA (109 nucleotides) under Treponema peruense. Lineage: Bacteria; Pseudomonadati; Spirochaetota; Spirochaetia; Treponematales; Treponemataceae. The record is from RNAcentral.
ACUGGUGUCCAUAGUAAAGAGGCAAUACCCGUUCCCAUACCGAACACGGAAGUCAAGCUCUUUUACGCCGAUGAUACUGCGAAAGCGGGAAAGUAGGUAGAUGCCGGUU